This is a non-coding RNA of Ameiurus melas (black bullhead), 73 nucleotides long. Lineage: Eukaryota; Metazoa; Chordata; Actinopteri; Siluriformes; Ictaluridae. The record is from the annotation of a GenBank genome assembly.
GGCCUUGUGGCCUAAUGGAUAAAGCGUCUGACUUCGGAUCAGAAGAUUGUAGGUUCAAGUCCUGCCGGGGUCA